Molecule: long non-coding RNA, 1036 nt
Organism: Pseudomyrmex gracilis
Lineage: Eukaryota; Metazoa; Arthropoda; Insecta; Hymenoptera; Formicidae
Exons: 5
Source: RefSeq, a predicted model, not a curated record
UUAGUUAGAAUUGGAAUGACUUCGUCUAUUCAAAUAAUGUGUAGAAAAACUUUAAGAACAAAACUUGAUCAAAUAUAUCUCGAAAUGAAAACAGCUCUUGAAAACAAAUUGGCUCAAAUUGAAAUAGUUGCAACUACAGCGGAUCUGUGGAGCAAAGCAAAAAGAUUNUUCAAACUUUUAUAAAGUUUUUUAGGAAUAACAGUCCAUUGGAUUAAUCNCGAAAAUUUAAGUAGAGAAUCAGCUGCACUGGCUUGCUGCAGAAUGAAAGGAAAACAUACAUAUGAUACUUUAGCUAAAGCAAUUAAUUCCGUAUUUUUACAGUAUCAUAUUCAAAAUAAGAUAUGCUGCACGACAACCGAUAACGGAUCAAAUUUUGUUAAGGCUUUUCGAGUUUUUGAAAAAGAUGAAGAUGAGGAUUCUGAAGACAUAGAAUUUCAUAAUCUAAGUNAUUUAUUAAUAACGGCCGACACAGAAGAUACAAAUGCUGCAGAUUUGAUCAUUCUUCCACCGCAUCAUAGGUGUGUUAGUCACACGUUGAAUCUCAUUCAACGGUGAAAGAUUCAGAAAAANCUUUAGAUAAUAAUAAUUUAUACAAAAAAAGUACAGAACAACAUUUGCUAAAUUAUCANAAUUAUGGAGUAAACAAAAUCAAUCACCACAGGUAGCAGAUAAAAUUAAAGAAUAUUGUGGUGUAUAUUUAAAAACUCCUGUUGCGUUACAAGGUGGAAUUCUACUUUCGAUUCAGUACUUNAGUUGGUAACGCUUUUAAAAAGUGACACAGAAAAAAUAAAUAAAUGUUUAGAUUAUUGCGAUUUACAGAGAUUAACUGAUGAUGAAAUUAAAUUUCUCNAAGAAUAUUGUCAGGUAAUGGNACCUCUGGCACGUGCUUUAGAUAUUUUGCAAGAUGAUACAGGAAUAUAUAUGGGAUACUUAUUACCAGUUCUAACUACAUUACAACAAAAAUUAGAAACUCUAAGUAAGUCUAAUCUAAUGAAUUGUCAUUCAUUGGUUUUAGCUAUCCAGCAAGGUUUAAAUA